AGAAGCGGGAGCUGUCCGACUCGACACCAGCAGCUGAUAGGAGCUUUGAACCACCAAAAGUCUCAGCAGCUCAAGGUGGAUUUACCCCCAGAGGAGACGACCACUACCACCAUUAACAUAAACCAGCUGAUAGACAUGGACCUGCUCAUUUCGAAGAAUAAGAAGCGUGAGGGCCAAACCCUCCCUGAAAAGU
Fundulus heteroclitus (mummichog) is the source of this 193-nucleotide long non-coding RNA. RefSeq lists it as uncharacterized. Lineage: Eukaryota; Metazoa; Chordata; Actinopteri; Cyprinodontiformes; Fundulidae. The transcript has 3 exons. The record is from RefSeq and is a predicted model, not a curated record.